RNAcentral lists this ribosomal RNA (492 nucleotides) under uncultured bacterium. RNAcentral describes it as "partial 16S ribosomal RNA". It matches the Rfam family "Bacterial small subunit ribosomal RNA", at positions 29 to 507 of the family's 1533-position model. The record is from RNAcentral.
AGUGAACGCUGGCGGUAGGCCUAACACAUGCAAGUCGAACGGCAGCACAGUAAGAGCUUGCUCUUACGGGUGGCGAGUGGCGGACGGGUGAGGAAUACAUCGGAAUCUACUUUUUCGUGGGGGAUAACGUAGGGAAACUUACGCUAAUACCGCAUACGACCUACGGGUGAAAGCAGGGGAUCUUCGGACCUUGCGCGAUUGAAUGAGCCGAUGUCGGAUUAGCUAGUUGGCGGGGUAAAGGCCCACCAAGGCGACGCUCCGUAGCUGGUCUGAGAGGAUGAUCAGCCACACUGGAAGUGAGACACGGUCCCGACUCCUAGGGGAGGCAGCAGUGGGGAAUAUUAGACAAGGGGGGCGAGCCGGAUCCAGGCAUACCGGGUGGGUGAAGAAGGACUUCGGGUUGGAAAGCCCUGUUGUUGGGAAAGAAAAGCAGCAGGUUAAUACCCCGCUGUUCUGACGGUACCCAAAGAAUAAGCACCGGCUAACUUCGUG